AACUUUCAACAAUGGAUCUCUUGGUUCUGGCAUCGAUGAAGAACGCAGCGAAAUGCGAUAAGUAGUGUGAAUUGCAGAAUUCAGUGAAUCAUCGAAUCUUUGAACGCACAUUGCGCCCUUUGGUAUUCCACUGGGCAUGCCUGUUCGAGCGUCAUUA
This 157-nucleotide ribosomal RNA is filed under the name Spiroplana centripeta. RNAcentral's name for it is "5.8S ribosomal RNA". It matches the Rfam family "5.8S ribosomal RNA". Rfam says of the family: 5.8S ribosomal RNA (5.8S rRNA) is a component of the large subunit of the eukaryotic ribosome. It is transcribed by RNA polymerase I as part of the 45S precursor that also contains 18S and 28S rRNA. Lineage: Eukaryota; Fungi; Ascomycota; Dothideomycetes; Pleosporales. The record is from RNAcentral.